This 462-nucleotide ribosomal RNA is filed under the name Streptococcus australis. RNAcentral describes it as "bacterial SSU rRNA". It matches the Rfam family "Bacterial small subunit ribosomal RNA", at positions 28 to 474 of the family's 1533-position model. Lineage: Bacteria; Bacillati; Bacillota; Bacilli; Lactobacillales; Streptococcaceae. The record is from RNAcentral.
GAUGAACGCUGGCGGCGUGCCUAAUACAUGCAAGUAGAACGCUGAAGGAGGAGCUUGCUCUUCUGGAUGAGUUGCGAACGGGUGAGUAACGCGUAGGUAACCUGCCUGGUAGCGGGGGAUAACUAUUGGAAACGAUAGCUAAUACCGCAUAACAGUAGAUAUUGCAUGAUAUCUGCUUGAAAGGUGCAAUUGCAUCACUACCAGAUGGACCUGCGUUGUAUUGGCUAGUUGGUGAGGUAACGGCUCACCAAGGCGACGAUACAUAGCCGACCUGAGAGGGUGAUCGGCCACACUGGGACUGAGACACGGCCCAGACUCCUACGGGAGGCAGCAGUAGGGAAUCUUCGGCAAUGGACGGAAGUCUGACCGAGCAACGCCGCGUGAGUGAAGAAGGUUUUCGGAUCGUAAAGCUCUGCUGUAAGAGAAGAACGAGUGUGAGAGUGGAAAGUUCACACUGUGACG